RNAcentral lists this ribosomal RNA (253 nucleotides) under uncultured bacterium. Its description in RNAcentral is "partial 16S ribosomal RNA". It matches the Rfam family "Bacterial small subunit ribosomal RNA", at positions 524 to 776 of the family's 1533-position model. The record is from RNAcentral.
UACGUAGGGACCGAGCGUUGUCCGGAAUCAUUGGGCGUAAAGAGCGUGUAGGCGGCUAUUUAAGUCCUGCGUGAAAUCCUGCGGCUCAACCGCAGACGGUCGUGGGAAACUGGAUGGCUAGAGUGCGGGAGAGGAGAGUGGAAUUCCUGGUGUAGCGGUGAAAUGCGCAGAUAUCAGGAAGAACACCCGUGGCGAAGGCGGCUCUCUGGAACGCAACUGACGCUGAGACGCGAAAGCGUGGGGAGCAAACAGG